AGUGAACGCUGGCGGUAGGCCUAACACAUGCAAGUCGAACGGCAGCACAGUAAGAGCUUGCUCUUACGGGUGGCGAGUGGCGGACGGGUGAGGAAUACAUCGGAAUCUACUUUUUCGUGGGGGAUAACGUAGGGAAACUUACGCUAAUACCGCAUACGACCUACGGGUGAAAGCAGUGGAUCUUCGGACCUUGCGCGAUUGAAUGAGCCGAUGUCGGAUUAGCUAGUUGGCGGGGUAAAUGCCCACCAAGGCGACGAUCCGUAGCUGGUCUGAGAGGAUGGUAAGCCACACUGGAAGUGAGACACGGUCCAGACUCCUAAGGGAGGCAGCAGUGGGGAAUAUUGGACAAUGGGCGGAAGCAUGAUCCAGCCAUACCGCGUGGGUGAAGAAGGCCUUCGGGUUGUAAAGCCCUUUUGUUGGGAAAGAAAAGCAGCAGGUUAAUACCACGCUGUUCUGACGGUACCCAAAGAAUAAGCACCGGCUAACUUCGUG
This 492-nucleotide ribosomal RNA is filed under the name uncultured bacterium. RNAcentral's name for it is "partial 16S ribosomal RNA". It matches the Rfam family "Bacterial small subunit ribosomal RNA", at positions 29 to 507 of the family's 1533-position model. The record is from RNAcentral.